GAAGUUCCCAGGCAGGGGGAUCAAACCCGCACCACAGCAGUGCACAAGCCAUAGCAGUGAUAAUGCCAGAUCCUUAGCCCAAUGAGCUAUCAGGGAACUCCCAACCAAAGCUACUUUAGAUCAUUCUCAGGGUUGAGCAUCUUUCAAGGAGCUGCCUGAAGAUCUAAUGAAGUUAAUGACCUUAUGAGUCAUCCCAGAAAAGCUCAGGAAAUUACACACCCUCUCCAAACUAUGGUGCUCCCCCCAGCUGCUUGGCUGUUCACCAUUAAUAUCCAGGGCCUUGCCCAAGUUACUUGUGCACUCUGGGUGUCACCUCCCUGACCUGUAAAUUGUGUAUAUUGAUGAGCAUUAUGUAUGACUGCUUUGAAGAUAAAAUGUGAAAUGUAUGUAAGGACUUGACACGCCACCUGGAAUAUAAAAAGUACUUAAGUAUAGCAAAUACUGUUAACUAAUCAUUGUAAUUGUUAAUAUUUUGAUGUCCAUAAUGUCUGAUCCAUGGAAAAAUCUCCAUUUCCAGCAAAGAGUCAACACUGCUGUGGUGACAUUUUUCCUCUAUAGAGAAGAUAAAGCCAGACAACUUGGCAUGCGGCAUGUGUUCUAAAAUUGUAUAAGCUACCAAAGGCAAUGGAAAAGCAGAUGAGAGCAUUUUAAAAAUUAAAAUGCCUUUUGAUUGCUCUGCGUUAUGUCCUGUGUUGCAGAGAGGCACUGUCAAAAUCAGUAGCUUUAUGAAUGAUGGAUUUUGUACAGCAUAAAAAGGCAUGGCAAAGUAUAUUUCAAAUUUUGUUUUGAAAGCACUGAUUCCCAUACAUCUUUGAAAUUAAAUUUCCCUCAUGGUUCACCUUUAAACCUGUUACCCUGCUCUAAGAGAAAAAUAAGAAAAGGAAAAUCCGCCUUCACAAAACCAUUCAAAGGUAAACUGCCGAUAAACAUUAGAAAUCACAUAAAUGAAUUAUUUUAUGAGUCUGAUUUUUCUCUACUGAAUAUUCUCCUCCUUUUUGUCAUUAUUCCAAGUACCUGAGUGUCACUUGUAUUUAUUUUUUCCUUAUGCUUCCAUAAAUACAAUGAAAAGGCUAGUAUUUCUAACACAGUGCUUUGCUUCUGUUUAUCUGAUAAUGCAAUAACCAAGAUUUCAUUAUAGUAUAAAAAAUGUUAGUGAAAUGAAUGAACGGAAUGUCUGGUCUAAUUCUCUGCUUUCGUUUUUAUUAAUAUUACAUUUCCUAUAGGUUUUCUCGUCUUUGUGACCACUGCACUUGAGAAAUAUUGAGCAAUUCUUACUCAGAUUUUCUUAACUAUGUACCUUGCCUGCAAGCUGAAGAUACCAUUGAGUUUUUCUAUUGUAGGUUUGUGAAUUAUGUAUAAAAAGGGCAUUACAUUUUAGUAAACUUUGGCAUGGAUCCACUCAUGGGGAAUAAGAUUAAGGUGAAGUAGGAUGUUUUUUCACAGGGUCAAUUAUUGCAUUCUUACCGUCACAGUAGAAAUCUUUUUUUUUCUCCAAAGUAUUACUAACCAGUUAUAGGAAACUGAUCCAGCAACUUGCCAUUCACAUUAAAAUAUGUGACUUUAUUUAUUAUUCUGUGUGGUGCAUAGUAUGAAAAAUGUGGGCUAUGAACUAAUCAUGGUGCUUAUUUGGGGUAUAUCAAUGAUAAUACUCAACAUGACGAUGAUGACAUGACUCUAGAGAAUGUCUGGUUGUUACCAUUCUGUCUUCAAAAGUUGAGGCAACUUUUUUUGUGUGUUUAAUUAACAACAUACAUUUGACUUAUUCCUUUCUUGAUUCCAAAAACUUAUACAGAGCACCACAUCUACUCUAGACACCCAGAAUUCCUUACGGAGUUUUCCAUGACAGUGGGUAUGUAAAAUAAAGUCCUGGAAGAGACGAGAAAUGUUUGACAUGAACUCUUGGCAAGAGGAGCAUCUACUAAAAUAAAACGGGUGUGGCUCAUGCAAGGAAGAGUUAGAGCAACUAAGCAGCAAAAAGGCCAUUUUCUACAAUGAGCAUGGGUAGGUACAAUGAGCAUUUUCUACAAUGAGCAUGAGUCCUUUGAUUACUCACUGUCUCAAUUCAAAAUGCUGGACUCUGCUGGUGACAUUAACUUGUAGACCCAACACUGGCCCUUAGCUCAGAAAAAAGUAAUAAUAAUAAUUUGGCAACUUCCAAGUGCUGACAUCAGCAGCUCUCUUCUGGUCCUUCCCAGCUAAGUAAGAAAAUGUGAUCUAGUCCUUUUUUACCUUCAGACAUCUCAAGUCAGCUCCCUACAUAACAGCUAAUCUGGAUUCCUGCCAUCCUUGCUGUUUGACUGAGCCCAGGGGGUUCUGUAAGGAGUACCAUGAGACAGUUCUCAUCACAUCCAAUAACAUUCCCAGUACACAUAUUUUGUAGCUUGAUAUACAGGCCUGGCAGAGAUAUAAAGAAACACUUGAAGAUAGAAUAAAAAGGAAAACAGAAACCCUAACUCAUUCAUUCAAUCACUGAAUAAAUACUGUUUUAAGGCAUUAAUUUUAAUAUUUUGGAUAAGGUGUUGCAGGGGUUAGUGAUAGAAGAGAAAUCACAUAAUAUAUGUUUUCAAGAAACUUCUAAUCCAAGAAAUAAUCUAACAUACAAGUUUAAGAAAACAUGGCACUCCUGCCCAUAUUCCCUUGGAUCCCUUCACCAGCUUUCUACACACCAGCUCCAAUGUGCUCUGACCCCCAACAUCAGCAUCUGUAGCUCCAUGUGGAAAGGCUCCUUUUGUCUAUACCAAUGGAAACUGCCAAGCACCAGAGAGAUUAUGCUGCCUUCCUAUCAUCAGCCCUUAGCCGACGAAUAAAGGGAUGAAGAUAAACACUACAGCCUCCUUGCCUCCUAAUUCGGACAACUCCAAAGUGUGCCUCAUCCUGUCUCAAGAGCUCUCCUGCAAGACUGAGUCAUGUUGCCCCACCUCUGGGGGAUUUUCCUGGAAAUCUCACCCUUGCUUUUCUUCCUUCCACGCCAUGUCUACUUGCCCACACUGCAACUGGUGUUUCUCCAGAAACACUUUCUAAUACACCACUUUCACGUGAAACCCAUUUCAGGAACAGCUUAUGAAGGCACAAAGCUAUCAAUAAGACCAUUUCUCCUAUUUCUAAGGGUGACUAAAAAUGAAUCAAAGAUGAAUGAGAUAGGUUUCCUAAGGGUUAAACAAAACGAUAGGACUUAUUGAACAAGUAGAGUAAAGGGAAACCAAGUUGUCAAACUCUCAAAAGCCCUUGAGUGUCAAGAAAAUGAGAUUUUAACUUUUUGAUAGAAAACAAGAAAUUAUUGGAAAGUUUAAGUAGAAGACACCAUGUCAGUUUUAGCUUGAAUAAUUCAGUAGAAAUAUCACUAAGUCUGAGAGCUUUUCUGUUCACUCUGGAUGUAAUAUAAGUGAGACCUCUUCAAAAUUAGCAGAGAUGCUGUGCUUUACACUCCUUUCUCUCCAAAUAUGGAUGCUCUGUGGCCAACCAUCCAGAAUUCUGUCUAACCUGAAAUGGAGGUGCACCCUGAAAGUUAGCACACCUCCCUGGUCUCUGUCAAAAGAUCCCCAGUUCUUAAAUGGAAUGCAACACUGUGCUAACAUUCACACUUCAAAGUCACACACAAGUUGGCAUUAGUCUGUAGAUUCCUUGUCUCCUCCUCCUUGGCAUCUCAUUAUCCAUUUGUACAGCUAUUCAACAAUCCAAGCUAUAUGCUCCAGUACAGGUUUCUAAAGAAUCUUUCAUCUUAGCCAAAAGACAAAAGUAAAAUAUUUCCAGGCAUUGCUGAGUAUAGUUUCAUAAUCACUGUGGCAUACUCUUUGUGGCAGUAUUUCCACCUUCAUCUAACAGUACCCACCAUUAUAAGAGCUUUUCAACAAAGAAUAUCUGCUAUUUAUUUCUUGGCUACAGUUGGAGUUCAUUGUGCUAGGCAUUGGAAUGUUGUUUCCUGAUCAUUUAAAAUGGUCCUCCUGUUUGAAGGACUUGACACUUAUACCAGCAAUUCUCACUCUGACUGCACAACAGAAUCAUGCAAGAGCUUAAAAAAAAAAAGUAUGUAUAUAUAUAUAGUGUGUGUGUGUGUGUGUGUGUGUGUGUGUGUGUGUGUGUGUGUGUAUUCCUAGUCUCAAUCCCAUCCCAUCACCUAGGUAAUGAUUUUUUUUUCAAGCUCUUCAGGUAGUUCUUGAUGUGACCAGUGUAGGGAACCAUCACUUUUAGACUAUUAGGUCUGAAUUUUAGAUACAUCAGUUUUAAUAUUAAAAUCAAGAGUUCUGAGUGACAGCUGGUCCAACAGUUAAACACAAUGAUACAUCUGUAUAAUUCCUGACAGUUUAUAAAUAAUUUUCACAAAUACAAUCCCUAUGAGACCAAAACUAUAUUUAUUUUAAUCAUUCUAAAGAAAAGGGAACAAACUCUAAGAAAAUUUUUAGGUGAUACACUCAAGGUCAUAUAAUAUGUAGUAGAACCAGAACACAAUUUUGAACUCUAGGCACAGAAUUCCAUCUACAAAGGAACAUGCCACUUGGUUUGAAGCAUUAAAACAUAAAAUCCAAGAGGGGAGGAAAGAGUAAAUAGGUGAAGCAUAGGAGAUUUCUGGAACAGUGAACUCUGUAUAAUACCAUACUGGUAGAUAUAUGUCAUUAUACUUUUGUCCAAAGCCAUAGAAUGAAUAACAGCAAGAGUGAACCUUAUUGUAAAGCAUGGCCUUUGGAUGAUUAUAGUGUAUCAAUGUAGGUUCAUCAAUUGUAACAAAUGUACCAUUGUGCUGGGAAAUGUUGAUAAUAGGAGAAACUAUGUAUAAAUAAGGCGGGUGGGGGGGUGGAAUAUGGUAAAUCUCUGCACCUUCCUCUCAAUUUUGCCAUGAACCUAAAACUGCUCUAAAACGUUGUCUAUUUUAAAAAUAUUAAUAAUAGUAACAUUAUUCAGAUCCCUUUGCUGAAUAGUAAAGCAAUUUGUGUACAUUAAUACUUAUUUUUUUGCUUGGCUGAAAUAUUUUAAUUGUGAGCUAAGGAGAAGGAAAUCAUCACUAUCAUAAGAUUUAAUUCCUUUCUACCAUCUUUCAGCAAAUUGGCAUGAACAUAUUGAGAAUUCUCCCAAGUCAGUUUGUGAAAAACUGCUUUGAAAGACUGGAAAAUGUGCUUUCCCUUGUAAACGUUCAUGGAGUACUUUCACUAUGGGAGAUACACUUGCAUUGUUUACGGCAAUCCAGGAGGAUUUAGCAGGAGAUGCAAGCACAUUUGGAAGUGCUUAGCUUUUCAGUCAAGGCCUAGAACUCUGAGGUAAAGAAUUUGUGUGUAGGAGUUGCCGUCGUGGUUCAGUGGUUAACGAAUCCGACUAGGAACCAUGAGGUUGCGGGUUUGAUCCCUGGCCUUGCUCAGUGGGUUAAGGAUCUGGUGUUGCUGUGAGCUGUGGGGUAGGUCACAGACACGGCUCAGAUCCCACGUUGCUGUGGCUGUGGUAUAGACCAGCAGCUGUAGUUCUGAUUCAAUCCCUAGCCUGGGAACCUUCAUAUGCUGUGGGUCUGGCCCUGGAAAAGGCAAAAAAAAAAAAAAAAAAAAAAAAAGCAUUUGUGUGUAGGCAACAACUUACUUCAGUUCUUAGCCAUCCUACACAGUGGGCUAGACUGAAUGAUCCCAAAGACAUGUUCAACCUUGCCUCCCCAUCUUCAAGGACACAGAUAUAGAGUGCUUGGCACAGAGUGGACACUCACUAGAUACUUGCCAAAAAAAGAAUAACCAAGAGAGUGUGUGUGUGUGUGUGUAAAUGAAAUGGGAAUACCUCUAGGAAAGAAAUUUCCAACAGUAUUUUCCAUUAGCAAUCUCACCAGGAAGCCUGGAUAUGAAGAAUAUUGUAAUGACAAGAAGUCCAUCUGCAAAUAAUGCUUGCUACUUUUUUCUCUGAAGAAUUUACUGCUCUCACAUCCUGUAUAAACCUAAUUUUCCUUGAUGCAGUGUUGAUAUAAAAAUCAUUUUUAUUCCUAUUAACAUCUGAUCACUUAUGUCAUCACAAUUAAGAUAAUACCACCUCUAAAAGGCAGAACACAGAUCACAAAGGAUUAGAAGACGUCUAUGCAACAGACGUCUACAAGUUAGACUAGAUGAUUUCAAGAAAAGUCUGUGGGGUAGGGAUUUUAAAUCAAAACAGCACAUAGCUACAUAUAUCUCUCCCUUAUUUGGCCUUAUGAUCUCACAAGCAGAGAAGUAAGAAAUGGGCUCAUUUUAAAGCGGUGAGGCAAAAGCAGCACCCUAGUUGGUUUAGCAGGAAGAAGGUAAUACCUUUAGCCUAUGAGGAAUUAAGUUAGCAAGGAAAACCAUUCAAUUUACCCUGUUUCACAGACUUUUCCAUCACAUCUAGGUUUGCAUACACUUAAAAUUGACAAGGUUAAAAGCCUAAUUCCAACUCAGCAUAACAUGUUGAUUUCUGCUCCAAGAGCAGCACAUUCAUAGGGCAAAAAAGACAGUGCUCUUCUAGUUAAGAAAAUAAGAUGCAUGUAAAACAUUCAAGUAAAAAUGUAAGCUUCCAAAAGGAUAGUUAUAAAAUCAGAGUGGGCAGAAUUCAAAGAAGAGAGAGAUUAGCAUGAGUCAGAGAGACUUGGUAAAGCUUUCAUGGAAGAAGAAUGGAGAGUGUUUAAAGAGGCUGAAGAGAAAAGAAAAAAACACUGGUUUAAAUAUAAGUUGAAUAAUAGAAACAAAAAUUUUAUAUAACAUUGUCCAUCUAGUCUUUUUAUUUAGAAACUUUUGUCAUCACUGAUAUGGCCUCUUCUCUACAACUAUCAGAAGUAUAAGGUAUAUAAUAAAAAUCAAGAAAAUGAAAAGUAAUACAAAAUAUGCAAUUUGCUGAAGAUAAAUAAUACAGUAUUUGGCAUAAGUAUAAGAAGAAAUACAUCACAUAAAGCGAAAAUUGGUAAAUCUCUACUUCUCAUGUUGCUUUUAUAUUAUUCUUUUUGAUGACUGCACAUCUACUUAUGAAAUGUUUGAAAGUUAUUACAUUUUAUUUCUGUAAAAAGACUUUUAAGCAAUUCGAAUUCUGUCUUUCUUAAACUAUCACAGACAACUGAAUUCUUUAUAUUAUUGAAUUGUUUCAUAUCAUAGAAGAUAACACACGUGAUAGUAUUUGCAUUCAAUUCAGAAAUGUAGCAAGCUAUCAGCAAAGAAGAAAAAAGUAUGUAUAUUGACAAGACUCCAAGUAUAUAAAAUUAUAAUCAAAACAUUCCACUUCAACAACAUCUAUUUGUCUCAAAAGCCUAAAAUGACCCUUCAGAAAAAUCAAAAGGUAUCUAUUCAAUUGAGAGUUAAGCUAUCUUCCAAUCAGCGUCUUAACACAGAUUUCUUCUUGGGUAAUAUUUAAUUCUUUCGCUCGAUAUUCCCUUUGCCACUCAAACUAAGUAAGGCAGUCCAGCUUCACUUGUUGAGAUUUAGCCACAGGCUUGCCUACAGUAGCAAACAUCUCCUCAAAUUGUGCUAAGUUGAAAAUAAUUCUUGAUGAAGAGUAUAGCUCUAACACUGUAUAAAUAUGGAAGCCACAUCAUGAUACAGAAGGAACUCAAAAUGGGACCUUAGACUUGAUCAACUCUGUUAGACUUGCACAGCAUGGCUGGGAUCAGGUUAUCUCUUAGGUUCCUUCCAAUAUGAAAAUUCUAUGCUGCUAUGAUAUAAACAAAUAUGUAAGCUUUGCCAUCAACUCAAGACUGGUUACCUUCUCCAGACAAUGGCAUUUGUGAUCAAGCACAUAUAUCAAUGCAAUAUGAUUAAACCGAGCCCCUUUCCCCUAUACAUCUGUCUAGUGCUAUCUAAGCCUAAACAGCCUGAAAGUUACUGCAUUUAUUCAGAAAACACACAUGUAUAUGUGAGCUACCUAGGAAUGGUUAAGGGGAGGCAUGUAGUAGAGAUUUGGUAGAGAUCAGCAGCCCAAGGGGAUUUCUGGCAGGAGAUGCAGAGAGCAGAGAGAACUAAUCUUACAAAAAUGGGGAUUCAAAAUCCAAAUUCUUACACCUAGACGAUGUUAGUAAAAACCAGGUAGAACCACCCCUCCCUCAUAACUCAUGCUACAGCCAGACAUUUAGUUUUUCAACAUGUCCUGCAUACCCGGUUCCUUCUGCCAGAAUCACUCUCCUCCAAACUCUUUAGCUAAUGCUACAUCUUCAAGACUUCAAGUAACUGUCAGUUUGUGCAAGAAGCUUUGUCCAAGACUCUAAGUCAAGUUUGGCUAUCCUACUGUUUUAUUCUAUCACUCUGUAACCCCCUCCUCAUUUUAGCAUUUAGUAUCCUAUAUUGAAACUACACAUUUAUUUAGGUCUAUUCCACAACAGAUAGUAACUAGAAAAAUAAAAUACCUAGUUGGCUAACAGUUUAGCUCAGGCAGGUAAGAUAUUAGUGUUACAUUAGAGGAGGAUUAAAAAUGAAAAAAAAAAAAAA
RNAcentral lists this long non-coding RNA (8384 nucleotides) under Sus scrofa (pig). RNAcentral describes it as "lncRNA (ENSSSCG00060033782.1)". The record is from RNAcentral. Lineage: Eukaryota; Metazoa; Chordata; Mammalia; Artiodactyla; Suidae.